CAGGCUCAAGAUGAUGUUGAUCGAUGAAGGCCGGGAUCUCUGUAGGUCUGAUGAGCUUCUUCUCCGCAUGGAUGGUGAGGUCACACAGGACUUGGUGCUGACAGGAAGGAAGG
Xiphophorus hellerii (green swordtail) is the source of this 113-nucleotide long non-coding RNA. RefSeq lists it as uncharacterized. The transcript has 3 exons. The record is from RefSeq and is a predicted model, not a curated record. NCBI's taxonomy places the organism in Eukaryota, Metazoa, Chordata, Actinopteri, Cyprinodontiformes, Poeciliidae.